GGAGGGUUGGCCGAGCGGUUUAAGGCGCAGGUUUCGAAAACCUGUGAGCGAAAGCUCUCAGAGGUUCAAAUCCUCUACCCUCCGCCA
RNAcentral lists this transfer RNA (87 nucleotides) under Candidatus Roizmanbacteria bacterium RIFCSPHIGHO2_01_FULL_39_24. Its description in RNAcentral is "tRNA-Ser". It matches the Rfam family "tRNA". Rfam says of the family: Transfer RNA (tRNA) molecules are approximately 80 nucleotides in length. The record is from RNAcentral. RNAcentral also lists the same sequence under 3 other names. Lineage: Bacteria; Candidatus Roizmaniibacteriota.